GCAAAUGGUAAGAGCACAUUAGCACCCCUUAAUCUAUGAUAGGAGGCAGCAAAUUCAAGCUUGGACAGUGAGAAUGCAUGUCCGAGAUGCAAAAUCCCAUUCAUGUAAGGAAAUGGAAAGUUGCCAAAGAACUUCUCAUCUGGUUCAGGAGGCUUUUUUCCAGGUUCAGCCCUGAAAACAUCUUUCUCAUCCCACCAGCCUCGAACCUUCUGCUCGAUCUCCAAGAGACGAUCCCUCCUUGCAAAGCUCUUUGCACCGUCUGCUGCCAUUUCACAAAAUUGAUGGGCACUCAGGUUCAAGACCGAUCGGCUAAGGGCAUUUCGAGGAAAGACUUGAAAUUUGUGCUUGAGUAAAUUAAGAGCCAGCGAGCAAGAAAGAGAGAUUUGAAGGAGUAUUUUUUGCGGCUCUUAAACUCGUUGAAGAGGC
RNAcentral lists this unclassified non-coding RNA (426 nucleotides) under Hevea brasiliensis (rubber tree). Lineage: Eukaryota; Viridiplantae; Streptophyta; Magnoliopsida; Malpighiales; Euphorbiaceae. The record is from RNAcentral.